This 48-nucleotide transfer RNA is filed under the name Seemannia sylvatica. RNAcentral's name for it is "partial tRNA-Leu". Lineage: Eukaryota; Viridiplantae; Streptophyta; Magnoliopsida; Lamiales; Gesneriaceae. The record is from RNAcentral. RNAcentral also lists the same sequence under 6 other names.
AAAAUCCGUCGACUUUAAAAAUCGUGAGGGUUCGUCCCUCUAUCCCCA